UAGGGAAUCUUCCGCAAUGGACGCAAGUCUGACGGAGCAACGCCGCGUGAGUGAAGAAGGUUUUCGGAUCGUAAAACUCUGUUGUUAGAGAAGAACAAGUGCUAGAGUAACUGUUAGCGCCUUGACGGUAUCUAACCAGAAAGCCACGGCUAACUACGUGCCAGCAGCCGCGGUAAUACGUAGGUGGCAAGCGUUGUCCGGAUUUAUUGGGCGUAAAGCGAGCGCAGGCGGUUCCUUAAGUCUGAUGUGAAAGCCCCCGGCUCAACCGGGGAGGGUCAUUGGAAACUGGGGAACUUGAGUGCAGAAGAGGAGAGUGGAAUUCCAUGUGUAGCGGUGAAAUGCGUAGAUAUAUGGAGGAACACCAGUGGCGAAGGCGACUCUCUGGUCUGUAACUGACGCUGAGGCUCGAAAGCGUGGGUAGCAACCAGGAUUAGAUACCCUGGUAGUCCACGCCGUAAACGAUGAGUGCUAAGUGUUGGAGGGUUUCCGCCCUUCAGUGCUGCAGUUAACGCAUUAAGCACUCCGCCUGGGGAGUACGACCGCAAGGUUG
Molecule: ribosomal RNA, 550 nt
Filed under: uncultured bacterium
Lineage: Bacteria
Description: bacterial SSU rRNA
Rfam family: Bacterial small subunit ribosomal RNA
Source: RNAcentral